Molecule: ribosomal RNA, 505 nt
Filed under: uncultured bacterium
Lineage: Bacteria
Description: partial 16S ribosomal RNA
Rfam family: Bacterial small subunit ribosomal RNA
Source: RNAcentral
GACGAACGCUGGCGGCGUGCCUAAUACAUGCAAGUAGAACGCACAGUUUAUACCGUAGCCUGCUACACCAUAGACUGUGAGUUGCGAACGGGUGAGUAACGCGUAGGUAACCUGCCUGGUAGCGGGGGGUAACUAUUGGAAACGAUAGCUAAUACCGCAUAAUAUUGAUUAUUGCAUGAUAAUUGAUUGAAAGAUGCUAUUGCAUCACUACCAGAUGGACCUGCGUUGUAUUAGCUAGUAGGUGAGGUAACGGCUCACCUAGGCGACGAUACAUAGCCGACCUGAGAGGGUGAUCGGCCACACUGGGACUGAGACACGGCCCAGACUCCUACGGGAGGCAGCAGUAGGGAAUCUUCGGCAAUGGACGAAAGUCUGACCGAGCAACGCCGCGUGAGUGAAGAAGGUUUUCGGAUCGUAAAGCUCUGUUGUAAGAGAAGAACGGGUGUGAGAGUGGAAAGUUCACACUGUGACGGUAUCUUACCAGAAAGGGACGGCUAACUACGUG